UGCUGUGAUUCACAAUCAGCUGCUGCUGUGAUUCACAAUCAGCUGCUGUGAUUCACAAUCAGCUGCUGAGAUUCACAAUCAGCUGCUGCUGUGGUUCACAAUCAGCUGCUGUGAUUCACAAUCAGCUGCUGUUUCCAUUUUCAAAAGCCCAAUUUAGCAGUUUGCUAAUCAUUUCUCCAUUUCUCCUUAUCACCUUCGCCAAGAAGGUGGUGCGACAGCGUGUGUGUGUGUGUGUGUGUGAGUGUGUGUGAGUGUGUGUGUCUCACCAGAAGACGGCCUUCUUGUGCAGGACGUCCUGCAGUUGAAUUUGACUGAUGGUGUCAAGAGUGCUGAAGCCAUACUGAGGACAGAAGUCUGCUGGAGGAGGAGUACUGAAGACCACAUCAAAGGAGGAGGCUGGGAAGUCAAGCUGUAAGAUCACACUGUCUGGUUGGCUGAAGUUCGGGGAGCUGGUCCGUGCGUCUCGGUUAGGUUCAGGUUCAGGGUCAGGGUUAGGUUUAGGGUUAGGGUUAGGGUUAGGUUAGGGUCAGGGUCAGGGGUUAGGUUCAGGGUCAGGGUCAGGGUCAGGUUUAGGGUCAGGGUCAGGAGCAUGAGGAGAACCUACUGUCUGAAGCUGAAGAGCGGCAUGGUCACCCAGCCGAGGGCCUCCACAGUGCGGCGCUGCUUCCCCUUCUCCUCUGCGCCACCAGGGGGCGGCAGAGCGCUGGCAUACAGCUCACUGUCAGCUGCGAUUCUCUGGGGAGCUGGUUGAUCUGCACUGGGAAACACACCCCUGCACCCCACAGCACACAACCAGGUCAGGCUGUGAACAGGGCAGCCACUAUUGUCUUUGCUGACACGUGAGGGUCCUACCUUUGGUCCCACACCACCAGGUGAAACAGGUAUUUGUUAACCAACUGUUUACUGGUGUGCUGUGGCGCACACAGCUCCGCCCCCUCCGUGGGUCAGAGAAGAGGACAGGAAGAAGCCUUCAUAACUGACCAAUCAGAGAGCAGGACAAGGUUUGGUCACCAGCAGACUCUUUCA
RNAcentral lists this long non-coding RNA (1026 nucleotides) under Takifugu rubripes (torafugu). RNAcentral's name for it is "lncRNA (ENSTRUG00000030629.1)". The record is from RNAcentral. Lineage: Eukaryota; Metazoa; Chordata; Actinopteri; Tetraodontiformes; Tetraodontidae.